UGAGGAAUAUUGGUCAAUGGGCGAGAGCCUGAACCAGCCAAGUAGCGUGCAGGACGACGGCCCUAUGGGUUGUAAACUGCUUUUGUAUGGGGAUAAAGUCAAUCACGUGUGAUUGUUNGGCAGGUACCAUACGAAUAAGGACCGGCUAAUUCCGUGCCAGCAGCCGCGGUAAUACGGAAGGUUCGGGCGUUAUCCGGAUUUAUUGGGUUUAAAGGGAGCGUAGGCCGGAGAUUAAGUGUGUUGUGAAAUGUAGACGCUCAACGUCUGACUUGCAGCGCAUACUGGUUUCCUUGAGUACGCACAACGUUGGCGGAAUUCGUCGUGUAGCGGUGAAAUGCUUAGAUAUGACGAAGAACUCCGAUUGCGAAGGCAGCUGACGGGAGCGCCACUGACGCUUAAGCUCGAAGGUGCGGGUAUCGAACAGGAUUAGAUACCCUGGUAGUCCGCACAGUAAACGAUGGAUGCCCGCUGUUGGUACCUAGUAUCAGCGGCUAAGCGAAAGCAUUAAGCAUCCCACCUGGGGAGUACGCCGGCAACGGUG
Molecule: ribosomal RNA, 541 nt
Filed under: uncultured bacterium
Lineage: Bacteria
Description: bacterial SSU rRNA
Rfam family: Bacterial small subunit ribosomal RNA
Source: RNAcentral